Molecule: ribosomal RNA, 543 nt
Filed under: Hypselognathus rostratus (knife-snouted pipefish)
Lineage: Eukaryota; Metazoa; Chordata; Actinopteri; Syngnathiformes; Syngnathidae
Description: partial 16S ribosomal RNA
Rfam family: Bacterial large subunit ribosomal RNA
Source: RNAcentral
CGCCUCUUGCUAAAUAAGAAUAGGAGGUCCCGCCUGCCCUGUGACUAUGUUUAACGGCCGCGGUAUCCUGACCGUGCAAAGGUAGCACAAUCACUUGUCUUUUAAAUGAAGGCCCGUAUGAAUGGCAUCACGAGGGCUUAACUGUCUCCUUCUCUAAGUCAAUGAAAUUGAUCUUCCCGUGCAGAAGCGGGAAUAAAAAUAUAAGACGAGAAGACCCUAUGGAGCUUUAGAUCAUUAGCUGACUUAUGUUAAUAAACCCAGACAAAGAAUAAAACCAAAUAAAAAUCCGCUAAGUGUCUUCGGUUGGGGCGACCACGGAGUAUAAAUAAACCUCCGAGAAGAAAAAUUUUCCAUGAUUCUAGAACAUCCGUUCUAAACACCAAAACAUUUGACCUUAAGAUCCGGCAAGAACCGAUUAACGAAACCAGUUACCUAGGGAUAACAGCGCAAUCCUUUUCAAGAGUCCCUAUCGACAAAAGGGUUUACGACCUCGAUGUUGGAUCAGGACAUCCUAAUGGUGCAGCAGCUAUUAAGGGUUCGUUU